Molecule: ribosomal RNA, 440 nt
Filed under: uncultured bacterium
Lineage: Bacteria
Description: partial 16S ribosomal RNA
Rfam family: Bacterial small subunit ribosomal RNA
Source: RNAcentral
CCUACGAGCGGCAGCAGUGGGGAAUAUUGUACAAUGGGGGAAACCCUGAUGCAGCGACGCCGCGUGAAGGAAGAAGUAUUUCGGUAUGUAAACUUCUAUCAGCAGGGAAGAAAAUGACGGUACCUGACUAAGAAUCCCCGUCUAACUACGUGCCAGCAGCCGCGGGAAUACGUAGGGGGCAAGCGUUAUCCGGAUGUACUGGGUGUAAAGGGAGAGUAGGCGGUUUAGCAAGUCAGAAGUGAAAGCCCGGGGCUCAACUCCGGGACUGCUUUUGAAACUGUUGAACUAGAUUGCAGGAGAGGUAAGUGGAAUUCCUAGUGUAGCGGUGAAAUGCGUAGAUAUUAGGAGGAACGCCAGUGGCGAAGGCGGCUUACUAGACUGUAAAUGACGCUGAGGCUCGAAAGCGUGGGGAGCAAACAGGAUUAGAUACCCUUGUAGUC